This 460-nucleotide ribosomal RNA is filed under the name uncultured bacterium. Its description in RNAcentral is "partial 16S ribosomal RNA". It matches the Rfam family "Bacterial small subunit ribosomal RNA", at positions 338 to 795 of the family's 1533-position model. The record is from RNAcentral.
CCUACGGGAGGCAGCAGUGAGGAAUAUUGGUCAAUGGGCGAGAGCCUGAACCAGCCAAGUCGCGUGAAGGAUGAAGGACCUAUGGUUUGUAAACUUCUUUUAUAUGGGAAUAAAGUGAGGAACGUGUUCCUUUUUGUAUGUACCAUAUGAAUAAGCAUCGGCUAACUCCGUGCCAGCAGCCGCGGUAAUACGGAGGAUGCGAGCGUUAUCCGGAUUUAUUGGGUUUAAAGGGUGCGUAGGUGGUUAAUUAAGUCAGCGGUGAAAGUUUGUGGCUCAACCAUAAAAUUGCAGUUGAAACUGGUAGACUUGAGUAUAUUUGAGGUAGGCGGAAUGCGUGGUGUAGCGGUGAAAUGCAUAGAUAUCACGCAGAACUCCGAUUGCGAAGGCAGCUUACUAAACUAUAACUGACACUGAGGCACGAAAGCGUGGGGAUCAAACAGGAUUAGAUACCCCUGUAGUC